RNAcentral lists this ribosomal RNA (477 nucleotides) under uncultured bacterium. Its description in RNAcentral is "partial 16S ribosomal RNA". It matches the Rfam family "Bacterial small subunit ribosomal RNA", at positions 30 to 507 of the family's 1533-position model. The record is from RNAcentral.
AUUGAACGCUGGCGGCAUGCCUUACACAUGCAAGUCGAACGGUAACAGGUUAAGCUGACGCUUGGCGAACGGGUGAGUAAUACAUCGGAACGUGCCCAGUAGUGGGGGAUAGCCCGGCGAAAGCCGGAUUAAUACCGCAUACGACCUAAGGGUGAAAGGGGGGGAUCGCAAGACCUCUCGCUAUUGGAGCGGCCGAUGUCAGAUUAGCUAGUUGGUGGGGUAAAAGCUCACCAAGGCGACGAUCUGUAGCUGGUCUGAGAGGACGACCAGCCACACUGGGACUGAGACACGGCCCAGACUCCUACGGGAGGCAGCAGUGGGGAAUUUUGGACAAUGGGCGCAAGCCUGAUCCAGCCAUGCCGCGUGCGGGAAGAAGGCCUUCGGGUUGUAAACCGCUUUUGUCAGGGAAGAAAUCCUUUGGGUUAAUAACUCGGGGGGAUGACGGUACCUGAAGAAUAAGCACCGGCUAACUACGUG